CAAAGAACAGUCUCCAUAAUUAUGACUAAUAACUGUGUCAGUAAUGCGUUAAAUCCAAAUUCCAAGAAGAAUUUUCAGUGGUUAUUGUCAUUUUUAGCUUGACUAUUUGAAGAAUAGGGGAGCUAUCCUACUCGCCCCGGCGUCGGCGUGAGCGUUAGUGUGAGCGUCACACAAAUGUUAAAGUUUGCGUACCACCCCAAAUAUUUUCAAAGUCCAUUGAGAUAUUGCUUUGAUAUUUUGCAUACUUGUUUACCAUCAUGACCCAGUCUGUAAAAAGGCGGAGUCAACUCUAUCAAGCAUUUUGACUGAAUUAUGGUCCCUUUUCGACUUAGAAUAUGCUUAUUGUAAUGUUAAAGUUUGCGUACCACCCAAAAUAUUUUCAAAGUCCAUUGAGAUAUUGCUUUCAUAUUUUGCAUACUUGUUUACCAUCAUGACCCCAGUCUGUAAAAAGGAGGAGGCAACUCUAUCAAGCAUUUUGCCUGAAUUAUGGCCCCUUUUCGACUUAGAAUAUGCUUAUUGUAAUGUUAAAGUUUUACUCAUAUCUUACAUUAUACUAUCAAGAACUGAGAAUAGUCGAGCGCGCUGUCCACUAACAGCUCUUGUUUAAUUGGUAUUAAUUAAGUUUAAGUGAAAUUGUUUGAAUGUUUAGAAGAAAAAUUAAGAUAAAUUUAUGGAUCAAAUAAUUGUACUUUUUGUACUUUGGGAAAUAUUAGUUUUAGCAGGACUUAAUUGAACAGAGUUGUUGGACUUAGAUAUAUUAUUGUUUACAAAAACUGGUCUUCGAUUUGCUUUUGAUGGAUCUGUUCCAACCAGCCAAAACAUCUACAUCUGCUGUAUUAACCAUACUGUAAAAUCAUUUAAUUUCGUGGGCAUGAAAAUUCACAGUUUUGGUAAAAAUGGCAAUUUCAAGGGGAUAUAAAUUCGUGGAUUUCAACUUUUAAACAUAAAAUGAAUGGGCAUUUUAUAUGUUUGUUGGGAUUAAAUUACAUGGAUUGACUCGACCACGAAAUCCACGAAAAAUAGUUCCCCACGAAUAUAAAUGAUUGCACAGUAUUUUUCAGUUGAUAUAUUAAUAAAAGUUUUCAGUCAAUGACAGAUCUUUCAAAACAGUUUUCUUCGUUAAUCAUUUUGUCUGUUGAUCAUUUUUGCUGAUGCCACACGCCUCUAAGAGAUCGAUCUGCCACGUUAUCUAGCAGUUUUUUGAUAAUUAUUUUGUGAUGUAUAUUAGGGCAGUGCUCUAAAAAGUUAUAUACCAGUUUACUGUUUUUGCAUUUUGAAGCCAUUUGGCCGUAGUGUUCUUUUAACUUUUACAAAAAGUUUUAAUUUUUUGACGGUGCUUUUUUUUGUUUUUGUAAAUUUUAAUUCAUAUUUUCAUUUCUUCAACCAAAAGGAGCCAGUUAGGCUUAAGACUAUAUUUCAACUUAGAUAACUUAUUUAUAAACGCACAAGCGUUUAGGGUGAAACUAUCCAAAUGCCACAUAUCUGAUAUAUGUCCUUAUUAGUAUUGUUCCUUCUAUUAAAAUAGAUAAUAAGUUUGUUUAAAUAUCAGUAUUUUGUCAAAUUGAAAGUUUGAGAAUGUUUUUGACUUAAAAAUUUAUUAAAAGGAAAUACCUUAGUAGUCAUUGCAAGCCAUUAAAAAAGACUUAAUUUUUUAAGAAACCUUGAAAAUGCAUUUUUUACCAAAUACCUGUGAUUGAGAUAUUGCUUUUGCCUUCGACACAAUUUGGUGGAUGAAAGACACAUUUUGGAAUAUCAUAUAACUAGGAUUAUGUGACUUAUUUAAGGCUGUUCAGGGUGAAAAUGCUCUUAGUGACAUUUGGUAAUGUUCAUUUUAACUUUUCUGGUCAGAUAUAUGUAAUUGGGGCCUUCGUGGCCAAGUGGUUAAGGUUGCUGGCUUUGAAUCACUUUCCCCAAUGUGGAUUCGAGCCAUACUCGGGGCAUUGAGUUCUUAUGUGAGGAAGCCAUCCAGCUACCUACCUGCUCGUGAUGAAAUAAGGCACGAAGGGGCACCUGGGGUCUUCAUCCACCAUCAAAGCAGGAAAGUCGCCAUAUGACCUAUAAUUAUGUUGGUGCAACGUUAAACCCAACAAAGAAGAUAUACAUAGUUGUAUUUUUUCUGAUGAAGAUAGGCAUUUGAUUCCCAUUUUAUAUAAAACCAAUGUCGAUUAACCAAUGACAAUGUCUCAUUUGAUAGGAAAACGAAUGUUGCAUUUAAAAAAGAAGUGAACUGAAACAGCUUUCAUUGCUGUGCUUUGAAUGGUACACUGUUAUAUUAUUUCUAUGUGCAAUUAAUUGAAACUCUACAACCCACUUGUUUUUUUUAUCUCCACCUAAGAUUAUCCCAUCUUUCAGUUUAACUACUAUUUUAAUGUUAUUUGUCAUCUGUUUGUAAGGUUAGUUUCUGCUUCCAUUUCACUUUAUUGUUUUGACAUAUCAAUAUUUUAUCAUUAUUAGCAUGAUUAGAGUAUGGUGACUUGCGUGGUUCAUUUGGGGUUUAAAGCACACUGAUCUCCCAUUCGUAGCACAACAACAGCAAAUUUUUUUUAGAUAUCAGAAGAAUAUUGCAGAUUAAUGUUAGAAGUGGUAUGAUAAAAAAUGUCUCCUUUUGAAUGGAACCAGUCAUUAUUAUUAAAUUUUGCUUGGGGGAGGUUGAUAUAUCAGUAUUCAUCUACCAUUAACACUUGUUAAAUUAUACACCCAAAUUGUUACUUCUGAUUUCUGUGUUUCAGAUACUGAUGUUUAUUUUUAUUUCCUGUUUACCCUUGUUUUCUCAUAAUGGACUUUUCCUGUUAAUUAUCAUGGAACAGUUCACUUGGUAGCAGGGGUGAAAUGGAUAAGAUAUUUAUGUUAAAGAAACUUUAUUUUUCUACUGUCUUUGAAGCUUUAAUUUUGAGAAGAUACCUGUUCAUAUUAUUUUUAGAUCAUAUAAAAUAUUAAGUUUUUAUACAACCCACCUUAGUAAAAGCUUUAAUAUGCGUAAUGUUUCAGAAAUGUAAAAUAUAAAAGUUCAAUCAAACUGUGCUAGGAGAAAAAUACAUACGUUGUAGCAGUAAUUAUAUGCAAACUUUUGCCUGGUUUAGAGAUACAUUAAGAUUAAAAUGCUACUGUCUAUGAAAUUUAUGUAUACUCAACAUUAAGUUUUCAGACUCUAUGUAUAGGCACAGGUAUAACUCGAGGUUGUAAAAUUUAAGUGUAUUUUUUUGUGGCAUAAAAUGUAGACCUAUGGUUGAGUAUUUGUGAGCAAGAAACAGACUUCUUUAAAAUCAUUAUAAAUUAUGCAUGCUUGUUACUUUGAAAGUAAUUUAGUUUACAGUUUUUAAGGGAUAACAUUUAAAUGAGGUAAAUUUGAUUUUGCGUUUUAGAUAAAUACAUAAUUUGUUUUGCAUCGCAUUUUUUUUCUAUUUCAUUUAAUAGGGAUAAAUGUAAUUUUGCAUUGCAUGUGCAUUACGUAUAAAUGUAAUGCAUGUCACUCGCUUACAUUGAAGAAAACAAAAUUUAUAAGGAAAAUGUAAUUAUGUAAUGCAUUACAUAUAAAUGUAAUUCAUUUUAUGUGCUCACAUUGCAGAAAACAAGUCAUAGGGAAAAUAUAAUGCUGUAGUGCAUUACGUAUAAAUGUAAUGCAUAUUUUGUGCUUAUAUUGAAGAAAACAAAAUGUAAAUCUAUAUCGUUUAUUCAUUUCUUGUUGUCAUAGUUACCAUGAUGUAAAUAAUUUCGUGCAUAGCUUAUGUAGCAUUUGAAAGCCAAGCCGUCCUGCAACAGCUUAUCCAUGUCUCAUUUUAUAAAUCUUCUUUUUUGUAAAAUUUAAUGCAACUGGAACAAGACAAAUUUUGUCCUAUUUUUUCACAGGAGUGACUUAUUUGUAACUCUUAUUGAUUAAUGUUUUUUUUAUUGUUUAUGCUAUAUAAAGAUGUGUGUUAUAUAUGAAUCAAGUGUUUUAUAUAAAUAUGGUCGUUUGAAGACAGGUUCGGUUUCAGAUGGGUUUCGAGUGGGUUGUUUUGGGGGAUUUUUAGGGGAUAUCAGAUAAAUAUGAAGGUAUAUUUAUAUUCCAAAAAAGGUUAUUAAACUUAGGCUAGAGGUUUUAUUCUUGUAUGAUCCUUUUGAAGUUUUAUUAUUGUCAAAAUAUGUAAAAAAAAGUCUUAAAAGGAAAUAAGAUGGAAUUUUUUUUUUUAGAUAUACUAUAGCUUCAGGGAUUUGGAUAAAAAUAUUAGUAAUAAGAGAUUAGUAGUAAGAGGUUACCAAGACAACUAUUUGGUGUAUUCAACUGACCAUGCUCUAUGAUAAAAACAGAAUUUUAACAAAAGAGAAAAAAAAAAAAAGAUUCUUAAGGCCUCAACAGAUGACAGGUUCUAAUUGUACAACAUUAAUUAUCUCAGAUUUUAAAAUUGUACAUCUUUCACAUUCAGACAGUAUUCCACUACCAUAUAAAUCUGACAGAGAUUUACCUAGUAAACAUAAUGCAUCAGGUACUGAAAAGAAUGUAACCAUUAAUAAUAAAAAAUGAUAUUCACCGUUAUAUGUCCCAUGAAUUUGAUUAGGCGUGACACAAAUGAGCCAUGAGAAAACCAACAUAGUGGCUUUGCGACCAGCAUGGAUCUAGACCAGCCUGUGCAUCCACGCAGUCUUGUCAGGAUCAAUGAUAUUUGCUUUCAAAGCAUAUUGCAAUUAGAGAAACCAUUAAUGAACAGCAUGGACCAGACUGCACGGAUGCUGGUCGGAAACGCACUAUGUUGGUUUUCUCCUGGCGCGGCUCAAAUCAUUUAACUUUUUAGUGUCAUCCUUUUUCCAUUAUGCAUUAGAAGCCAUUUUAUAUUCAGAUUUGUGUUUAUUUUUUUGGCAGUUGUUUCUGGAAUUUCAUUCACUUGCCUCUUAUCAACUAAUUAUUUACCAUUUUGUUGCUUGUCAACAUGGGUGGUACGUAACGCAAAACUUACGAAAUAGAACAUGUCCUGAUCUGUAUGUCAAGACUUAAGGUUUACGAAAUCAAGGAAUAGCAUCAUACACACGAUAAUAUUGGCUGUACAUCUUAAAUUUAAUUGGUGUUGUAAAACAAAAACCUACUGUCUGUUGAGGGCUUUAAAUAACUGUAAAACAUGCCUUAAGUUUUUGGUAAAUGUUUUCUUCAAAGUCUGUUUUUAGUGGAUCAGAUUUUGACUUUUUAAAAAAUGUAGGUCUUAUUUCAUCUUGGAACUAUUAAUGGUUUUGAACUCUUUCUGCGACACUUAUUUUAAUUUUUUUUAACAUUUUGUUCUGGUAUUGGAACUGGUUUUAGGGUUUUGAACAUUAUUUCAAUGUUUUGAACAUGAUUUUAACAUUUUUAACACUAUUUUAGUGCUUUGGAUUUUUUAGAUGUUGCCCAGGUUUAGAAAUGGGAAUCAUGUUGAAUACUUGUCAGCAGGUUCUUGUAUUAAAAGUUCUAUCUGCUUACUGCAGCCUGCCAACCAAAGCACUAAGUCUACAGGGUAAUCUUCUAAACCAACUUUGAAUUUUUGAGACUUACAUAUUUUUCUUUAGUAUCUUGUAUGGGCUAAUACAGCUUAAAUCUAAUGUAUAAUACCGUGCAGUACUGGAAAUAUAUUUGUCAGGAUAAAAAUGUUUAGUUAUAACAUUUUGAGUCGAGCAUUUUUUUUUUUUAAUCAAAACAAAAUACCUUGGCAAUAUAGCAAUAAAUCGUAAUUUUUAUGAAAGCAAAUGCCAUGUCAUUAUAGCAAGGAAUUGUAAUUUUUAUCAAAACAAAUACCAUUCAGUAUAGCAAAGAAUCUUAAUUUUUUUAUCAAAACUAAUGCAAUGUCAACGUCACAAGAAAUUGUAAUCAUUUUGGUUAUAUUGAUGGCUUGGUUUACUGUUCUUGCUGUUUUCAAAGGGAGAACAGGUUUUACUGACUGCUGAAAGGUUUAAGGUAACAUUUGAACAUUUCAGAAUUUAUUUGAUUAUAUUUUUCUUGAAAAUCUACUGCUGUGCAGUAAAAACAUAGUAAGAAGUUCAUUCACAGAUGUUUAAAAAUAUGUAAUUUUAAUUUGUAAUUGUCAUUGAAUGGAAGUACAAUUACUAUAGUUUUGUUCCAAAAAGAACACGAAACCUUUGUAACUGUUUAUAGCUAAAGAACAAGAUACAGUAGUUUCACAAUGAGCUCUUGACAUGUUGUUUUGGUUAACCUUUAGCCUGCUGGCGGCAACUGUAUCUGCCUUUGCGACCAGUGCAGACCAAGAUCAGCCUGCACAUCCUUGCAGUCUGAUCAUGGUGUGCACUGUUUGCUAUUCAGUCAGUAAAUUUUCAAAAAAAACCCCUUUGAAUAAUAAAUGGUAUUGCCCAAAUUGAAUGAUGGACCAGUCCAUUUAAGAAAUUUAGCAGGCUAAUAUGUAAAUGUGUUGUACAAAGAUACCCCCCUUGGUGUUGUGAACUUAACUGAAGGAUGGGAGGUUAGGUGUUGUAAAUGUACCAUUUCUUAGGAAUGUCAUUUGCAAUGCUUUGCCGACAUCCUUAAAAUAAGUAGCUAAUAUUAGACAAAAAUAUUGAGGCUAAGUGCAAGAAAAAUGUAACUUCUAUUGUAUAUUAAGUUAAAACAGUCUUGCAUUGAACCUUGGUGUUGUGACCAUAUACAGUAUUAGAUGAAAUAUAAACGUGCUUCAUGUCCUCUGUAAAUUGUGACUAAGAUUUUUAAGUCAUGUGACAAGUCACAUGACAGGUAGCUCAGCAGUUAUUGGCCAAUGUUUGACAUCAAACUCAGCAAUGAUUGGCUGAUAUUUGACAUGUGACAAGUCAUAUGACAGGAAGUUUAGCAAACAGUUUGCUGGCAUUUGAUUAAACCAAUUGGUUGUUUAAUACUUUGAAGCAGCAUGUGCCAUUUGUUGUCAGAAAUGAUAUUUUGAUUACUUCUUUUCAGAAACAGAAAGGAAAAAAAGCUAGUUUUGAAUAGUAUUAAACAUGUAAAUAUUGUUUAACAAUUGGAUGUAAUUUAUAGUUUCAUAAGUUUGUGAUGGAAACUGCCAGCUGUAAUAUAGUGAGAGACUUACAGCUAAUGCAUAUAUCAAGAUAACAGUUUUUUCAAAAGUUCUUUUUGUAAAAAGGGAGAAAAACACAUGCAAGUAAUUGUUUGUUUGGUGAAAACGCAAGUAAGAUUUUUAUGCAAAACUUAAUUCUCCAAGACUGUGAAAGAUUGAUCAUAGAUAGAUAAUUACAUAGUUGCAGAGCUUUAACACAUUGUACAAAGAGGAAAAUGGUUGUACAUUUAUUUUUUAUGGCCAUACACUGUACUGAUUGAACUAUACAUAUAGAUUUGCUGUCUUUGCUUAAAAAUGGCAUAUUUUAUGCAAUUUUUGUUUAAGAAAAUUUGUUUUAUUUUGUCAGUAAAAAAACAAUGUUCAUUUGACUUGAAAGUCUGUUAAUAUGGAAACAAUAUGAAAACUUGCACAAGAUCUACAUUUUUCAUAUUUGUAUCUAAUUUUAGAAUUAUUGCACUUCCGUUUGUGGUCUGAACAUAGAAUUAGAAAUUUAAGCAUAGGUUGUCAUAUUUAUUCAUGUGUUAUAUACCAGAAAAGUUGGUCAGAUUAAUAAUAGAACUUACAUUUUUUCAUAGUUGCAGACUUUCGGGUCAGAUUAUGAAUGUGUCUCUUGCAUAUACAAUAUAUUUUCGCUUAUAAGACGCCUUAUUAUGAGUCAUAUUUCCAGUUCAAAGAGUGGGAAACAUUUAUAAGCGUGUACUACAUGGAAAUUUAAGGAAUGAGAAACCCCAGAUUGCAUAUACAAUGUCUGGGUGCGUCUCAUAAGCAAGUGCGUCUUGUAAGCGAAAAUAUACAGUAUUGAUAAUUUUUGUUUAUGUUUAGUCUUUACAAUAUUAUAUGUGUCCCGAUAUAUAUACGCAAAGAUCUGACUAUUUCUGAAUGUGAUUAUUAUAUGAAAUGCAUUUUAAUUUUCUGCCACAUUUUUAAGAUGUUAAUAUUUAUGCUUUGUUUGCAUUGACAUUUUACUUACUUGGGUACAUUUCUAUCACGGCUCUUUUUGGUUAUGAGCAGUUGGCUUAGAUAAGAAAUGUUUGUGUUAAAUUAUAUGCCAUGAAUUUAUGAAACCAACAUUUUUGAUAAGCUGCAUUUUAACAAAUGGCCAAGUUACUUAAAAUAUCCCAGUUUAAUUACAAUUUUAGAGACACAGACCAUCUUAAAUUUAAAUAAGAGAAGCAUAGAGCUUAGGUAAGAAUCUCUCAGAUCUUUAUUAUACUCUAUUAAUUAAUAGAAAUUAUGUCACAGAUAGCAGACUUAUAUUGGCCCUUUGUCGGCUCAAGCAGGAAGCAUUUUUAGUCCUCAUAAAUUUAUUUCAAAUGUUAGUAAAAUUUGUUCAAUUUCCGACGUGUCUCAUUGAUGUGUUAUAAUUGAAUUACUAAAGCAGUACUUAAAUUUAAUCAUAUAAUGACACCACUCUGCGUUAAAUAUUUCCUUUGUUAGAGAAGAAAAUAUGUUCUACAAAUACCUUGUUUUUACUUUAUUUCAUUUAUUAUAUUGUUUUCUGUUUUUACUUAUAUUUUAAGCUAUUUAUUUCAUUACUACGUAUGUGCUAUCAUUUUUUACAUUGGGCCAAUUUUUUUUGACUUCUUCUAUAUAUGUUUUACUACUUUUUAUAGUGCUUUUACACCUUGCUGGUGUAAGAAAACAAGUAAAUCAAAUAGAAGAAUUAUUUUAUUUGUUUUGUUAUAUCAUGUAUAGGUUUUGGUAUAAUGGUGCUUACAUGUUUUAUUUUGUUCCUAGGAUAAAAACAGGUUAGUCUUUACUUUUUUUCAUUGAAUCUCUUCUUUGUAUAUAAAUUCAUUGUCAGUAUUUGACAGAUUACUGUAAAAGCAGUCAUUUUUGCAAGGGUUUAAUUUUCUAUAUAUAUAUUCACGAGGCAUUAUGUCUCGUGAAAAAUGAAUAUUCUCGUAAAUUUUUACCAUUAGUAUAAUUCAAAUUCAAGCGAAAAACGAUUUGAACAGUAUCACAAAUAUUAAACCCUGCGAAUAUACUCAGAAUUUCAAAUUUGCAAAAUUUUGACCCAGUGAAAAUUGUGCUUUUACAGUGUAUAAAUUCAUUGUCAGUAUUUGACAGAUGAUAAGAAUUGUUAGAUUUUUUGUUAUUUAAAUGUUCUCUCUCCACCCUUUAUGUUUAACCUUAAGCCUGCUGGCGGCAAAUAUUUCUGCCUUUGCGACCAGUGUAGGCCAAGGUCAUGGUCUGCACUGUUUGCUAUUCAGUCAGUAAGUUUUCAGCAAACACCCCUUCAAAUAAUAAAUGGUAUUGCCAAUAUUGAGAUGGACCAGUCCAUUUUAGAAAUUUAGCUAGGUAAAGGUUAAACACUAAUCACUGCAGAUUACAUUGACACUUCCAUCCUUGUAAUAGUAUGUUGGUCACAUUGUUUGUCCAUUGUGCAGGUUUAAAUUCUGUUGUAGAUAUCCUGAUACCCGCUACCCGCCCAUGCUUUCAAAUUAUACUCAGAUGGGCAUAAGGGGAAUACCUCCUAUCAAUAAAAGUUGGAAUUACACGCAGCAAACAAUUUCGCCAAGUCCACGGGUUAUGACAUGUCAAAGCAUUUUGAUUGGCACCUAUGCAGAAAGACAAAAAUUAUUGAAAUUUGAGUAGGUUACGACAAAAUCUUAGAAAAAUAUGGUACAAAAGAAGAUAUGUGAUAAGCUAGUUUUGAAUCCUGGGAAAGAUGUUACACUGCUAGUGUGUUUUUUUUUGUACAAAGCAAGAUUGUGUAUGUUAUUGAAUGAGGAAUUGAAAUAAAAGUGCUUGCAGGGAUGGUCACUUCUUAUUCCUUCACUAGGACAAAAAGAAGUAAAAAGAACGGAAGCUAAAAUAGAUAAAGUGAUUCUGGAACUUUAUUCGUUUCAUCUAAAUGCCUUCAAAUAGUUAGGUUUGAUAGUAGAUUUAAGUAACUAACAGUUUUCGUAUCCGUAUAACACGUUCAUUAGUAAUUGGAAAAUAUUUAACAUAACUGUAUUGUCUUUCAGCGCAAUAACUCAAUAAGUGCUUAUAUAAUAUAUAUGCACUUAUUGAGUUAUUGCGCUGACAUGACGAUAUGCUCUUUUUACAGGGUUUGUUAUUCAAUUAAACUUUUUUAAGUGGUGCUUAUUUUUUCUCCUUUUGUGAAUAGCUUAUUUGUACAAAUGUUUAUUCCUUAAAAGACUUUUCACCUUUUUUGAUGCUAGAAUUUAUGUGUUCUGUUUUUAGGUAAUGAUACUGCUUGGCCUUAACUCUUAUAAUGCUGGACAAGAUUGAUUCUGCCUUUGCGACCAGUGUAGAUCAUAAUUAGUCUGCACAUCUGUGUAGUCUGAUCAAGGUCUGCACUAUUCGCUGUUCAGUCAGUAUCUUUUUUGUAAGCACCCCUUUAACAGUUAUAAUGGUACUGUCCAGAUUGAAAGAUGGAUAAGUCCAUUAUAGCAAUUUGGCAGGGUAAGGGUUAGUACACACUUAAUGCUUUAGAAUUUACUGUGUAUACUUUUCUGGAACCAAAUGGCAUUUGUCUGGCCUAUUUUUCAUAUGGGAACAAAUCUGAAAAAGUUUCUGUGAUGUUUUUUCUCUCAUUUUUCAUUUUUCUUUUGGUGUGUUUAUCAUGUUAGAAAACUUUACUGCCUUUUGUGUAUGGAUUGGUAAAUACUGACUGAUUUUGAUAAGAUGGUAACUGACCAGCUUUGAUAAAAGUGUAAAUACUUUACAUUGGAUGAAACACGUGUUCAAGCAUCACUGGUCUUGUACUUGAGUCCAUUAUGACACUCGUUAAUUUCCCUAAUCUACUUUUGCCAUUCAGCGUUAUUUGAAAGCAAAUGUAGCUGAACACGUGUAUGAUUCUCUUACAAAAACGAGAAUGCUGUAAUGGCAUCCAGUGAAUGCGUAAUUUACAAAAUGCCAUUACGCUUUCACUAUCACAAGGUUAUAUAAGUUAUAGGAAGUUAUUUGUAUCAGGCUACGUGUAGAAUGCAACACACAAGGUAUGCCUUCAUUUGUGUUCAGGCAUGAUCUCUACUUCACGUUUUUGGCUUGUGCUUCUGCUUACAGUAGUGAAUCGAAAAGACACUCCUUAUUUUCACGUAUUCUAGUUUUGCCAUUCUGGACGUAAAUGCAGCUGAAGUCGCAUAUGGUAUUUCGUUAAAAAGCUGAAAAUGCCCAAAGUGGCAUACAGAGAAAAUGAGUCCACUACUUCCAAGUAAUGUCAAUUUAGAAGUUUAAUGUUUGUAUCAGGCUGCAUGUAGAACGUAACACACUAGGUAUGCCCUCAUUUGUAGGAAAGUGAAUACGUGAAAGUCUAUUCUGAGUGAUUAAGGCCGCUGAAAAACGGCGUUAAACCCAAAACAAACAAACAGACUUCAAAUCAUUUGCUCCUCAUCGAUGUGGGUUCGAGCCUCACUCAAGGCGUUGAAGUCUAAACCGGACAUUAAUUUCAAAAUAAGCCCCCUUAUCACAUACCAUUAACGAAAUACCCGAAAAAAACUUAAGCAUAACAGUUAAAAGAUUUUAUGUCCAUUUGAAUAAGAAGUUACAUGUAGGCCGCUACAUACAACUACAUUUGUUUGACAUAUCAAAACUGGUCAGUAUUUUUGCCAAAGUCACUUGGACAUUUUCUCAUUAGUUUUACUUGUAAAAAUCAUGUACAAAGUUUGGUUUUUAACACAUUUUUAGAUGUGAUUUUUUUUUCAACAGAUAAAGAUGUUCAGACUUUAAUUUUAUAUAGAGAGUUGUGCCAUAUUAUAUUAAUACAGUGUUCUCCAAAAAUUUCUUGACACUUGAACUUUAUUGCGAAUGUCUACCCUAUAUAUGUAAGAUGUCUUUAGCCAAAAUAUUUAAUGUUACCUUUAUACCUUCUUGUCUAGUCCAUGUUGUCAAGUCACGUAGACGCUAAAAGGUACAUUACUUCUUCCAGUUUAUCACACAGAUAUAUGUGAACUGUUAUUUUUUUGCUACAGAUCAUAUAAAGUUUUUCAAUUUUUGUACAUUUUUUCCCACUGGACUAUAAGGUUAUUUGUUGAAUAGCGUUUCACAUUUAUUUUCCUCAAUUUUUAAAUAAUUACACUUUAAUGAUUACACUUUCUAAACUUUCUGUAAAACGUUAAGAUCUCUGUACCGUAUGUGUAAACAUAGGACAUCUCUAAACAGUGUACAUAUGCACAUUUAAGUUCUGUUUUUGGUGCUUUGAAUGUUGAUUAAGAAAGCUUUUGACUUACAAAUUUCCUACACAUGCAUCAGUAUGAAUUCUCAAUCCUCCUUCCUCAGACUCUGUGUUUUCGUCCUAUUGUAGAUUGUUGUGAAUUUGUUUUAAUUUUUCAUACAAUGAAUAUUUUAUCAGUAUUACAGAAAAUUUUAAGUGUUAAUUAACUUUUGGACCACACUGUUUAUUAUACAUGUAUUAGUGCCAUUGUAAAACGACUGCUUAUAUUUGGAAACCAAAGGUCAUACUUGUUGUGAAAUGUUAGAGAUAUGGUUUAUUCAUAUUUUUUCGUAACAAUAUUUUUGUUUUAGUUUUUUUUUUGUAAAAAGAAAUGUUGGAAUAUCAUUGUUAUCAUUUAGACCAUAUUGUGUUCCCAUGGAAACAGACAGGUGUAUCUAAUUAAUAGCCAUCCUCUUGACUGUUCUAACACUGUGUUUUCUACCCAAGCCAAUAUCUACAUGUAAGUGUUUUAAUAGGGUAUUAAAUGAUGAAAUUAUAUAGCUACAAGUCUUCUCCUUAAAUAAAAAUUACAGCGGCACCUGCAGGCUUCCUGUUCCACCAAAAGCUUGAAAGUAUGCAUUUGAUCCAAAUCUGUCAUUUAGUGAGACUUAAACCCAACAAAGCAACACAGUUAUGUAGAUUUUUCAAAGCAACAGCUUAAAAAAAGGACAGUCAAAGAGAAGACGUUUUUUUUAACAAAGACAAGACAUUUAAACAUUGUAUCAAGUUAAGACAUUGAACCUUAUUCCGCAUUUAAAUAAUUGUAUAAUUUAUGUACAGUGUGAUAAAUAUUUGAUGUUAAAAAGAUUUUUAAAACUUUUCCCAUUAUAAUUACAAUUGGCACCAAUAAACAGGUUGUAUUUUCUUUAUUGUCUGUCCAUACCAGGUUUUAAACCGCUUCAAAAUGGCACACUUCUGCUUUGAUAUGAAAAAAAGUCUGCUUAACUGAUUAGAAAAUUGCACGGUGUUUACAUACAAUGCAUCUUAUCCACCGCUCUUCAGUCAUCCUGUUCCGCUACUGAAAAAUCAUGACAGUUUAUCCAACUUAUAGUAUGUAUAAAUCAGUUUCUUAGGCACACAAAGAGAUAAUCAGAUCUGUAAUUGCUGCCAUAAACAAAGUUACGUUGUCCAGACUUGUUUCAGUAUAAAGAUCUCUGCAUACUGUUUUAAUAACAUAAUUUUCCAGAAAUCAAUGUUCUCUUGCAACAAUAUGCAGUGACUUGAGAUCGUUAAAAAGUCGUGUCAUGAAGAGCCACAAAAUUGGGCAUUGUUUCUACCCCAUGUCAAUCAUUAUUUCUUGUAUUCUGAGGAAGCAUUUGUAAUUAGUAGAUGUUUUAUAUGAACAGGCUAGAUCGGUAUCUUUAAAUCAUAAAAUUAAUGUCACUGAAAAAGCGAAAAUGUUAAAAACAAAUAUGCACCCAAGGACACCUUUAGUAUAAUUUGCAUGUAAUAUUUUUGUUUUCUAAGUCCGUCUUUAUAUAUAUGUCAGUCCCAUUGUUGAGAAAAAAAGUCGAUGCAAAGAAAAAGUCCGUCCAUGUUCAGAAUUAAAAAUGUUUGAUAUUUUCAUUCAUAUGAAGAGUUAAGAUAGAGGACCUUUAUUGGAGAUCAGCCAUUUCCUUACGGUUUUGUCUUUUCAUUUGUUAUUUUAACAUUAUUUGACUCUGGCAAGCACCUGCUUUCCUUACCAGUCAGGAGAUGUCGAAUGCGCAUGUGUCAAGAAUACGUAAUAAACCUGAAAAUGCCGAUCUGUAUUACCGAUUUACACUUGUUUGUUUCCAUGGUAACAGUUGGUAAUGUAUCAUAGUGAUUGUUCAUGUUUAUAAAGCAUUAUAUACAAAAUGGAGGAGUAUUUUACAUAUAAAUGUUGUUCUAUGUUUACUAUAGGCAAAAUGCAAUAGUAUAUAUUUGUGUGCUUUAUUUUUGCUUUAAAGCAAACUCAUACAGAGGUUUAGAAAGGAAUAAAAGGCUUUUACUGGGA
This is a long non-coding RNA of Mercenaria mercenaria, 14140 nucleotides long. RefSeq lists it as uncharacterized. The transcript is spliced from 2 exons. NCBI's taxonomy places the organism in Eukaryota, Metazoa, Mollusca, Bivalvia, Venerida, Veneridae. The record is from RefSeq and is a predicted model, not a curated record.